RNAcentral lists this ribosomal RNA (811 nucleotides) under uncultured euryarchaeote. RNAcentral's name for it is "bacterial SSU rRNA". It matches the Rfam family "Archaeal small subunit ribosomal RNA", at positions 48 to 859 of the family's 1478-position model. The record is from RNAcentral. Lineage: Archaea; Methanobacteriati; Methanobacteriota.
GCCAUGCUAGUCGCACGAGUUUAGACUCGUGGCAGAUAGCUCAGUAACACGUGGCCAAGCUACCCUUCAGACCAGAAUAACCUCGGGAAACUGAGGCUAAGACUGGAUACGGUAUGUAUGCUGGAAUGCGACAUACUCCAAACGUUCCGACGCUGAAGGAUGCGGCUGCGGCCGAUUAGGUAGACGGUGGGGUAACGGCCCACCGUGCCAAUAAUUGGUACGGGUGAUGAGAGUCAGAGCCCGGAGACGGAAUCUGAGACAAGAUUCCGGGCCCUACGGGGCGCAGCAGGCGCGAAACCUUUACACUGCACGCAAGUGCGAUAGGGGAAUCCCAAGUGCGAGGGCAUACUAGCCCUCGCUUUUGUUGACUGUAAGGAGGUCAACGAAUAAGAGCUGGGCAAGACCGGUGCCAGCCGCCGCGGUAAUACCGGCAGCUCGAGUGAUGUCCAAUAUUAUUGGGCCUAAAGCGUCCGUAGCUGGCCAGCCAAGUUCGUCGGGAAAUCCACCUGCCCAACAGGUGGGCGUCCGGCGAAAACUGUCUGGCUUGGAACCGGAAGGCUCAGAGGGUACGUCCGGGGUAGGAGUGAAAUCCCGUAAUCCCGGACGGACCACCGAUGGCGAAAGCACUCUGAGAAGACGGAUUCGACAGUGAGGGACGAAAGCUAGGGUCUCGAACCGGAUUAGAUACCCGGGUAGUCCUAGCUGUAAACGAUGCUCGUUAGGUGUGGCACCCACUACGAGUGGGUGCUGUGCCGUAGGGAAGCCGCUAAACGAGCCGCCUGGGAAGUACGUCCGCAAGGAUGAAACUUAA